This is a non-coding RNA of Hypanus sabinus (Atlantic stingray), 73 nucleotides long. The record is from the annotation of a RefSeq genome assembly. Lineage: Eukaryota; Metazoa; Chordata; Chondrichthyes; Myliobatiformes; Dasyatidae.
GUCAGGGUGGCCGAGUGGUCUAAGGCGCCAGACUUAAAAACUGGAGGCGUGGGUUCGAAUCCCACUCACGACA